UAUUUUGGUUUUACAAUUUCGCUACACCUUUAUUAUUAUUCUGUGUUGUCCUUGGAAUGAGGAAGAACCAGAAGAAUCGGUGAGAGUAAGAAAAUGGGUAGUAGUAGUGGUGAAGCGGUGUUGGAGAGGCACGCGGCGGUUAAGUGGGUUGUUGGUGGUGUCAUCGUCGGUGUUUCACUUUUGGGUCUUUAUUCUUCAUCUUAUAAUUUAUGGCCUUUUGGGAAUAGAAGAAGACGUAACAAGAGACCGAUUCGUGUUUACAUGGAUGGUUGUUUUGAUAUGAUGCAUUAUGGUCAUUGUAAUGCUUUGCGUCAAGCUCGUGCUCUUGGUGAUCAAUUAAUUGUUGGUGUUGUUAGUGAUGCUGAAAUUAUUGCUAACAAGGGUCCUCCUGUUACCCCUUUACAUGAAAGGUUGAUUAUGGUGAAUGCUGUCAAAUGGGUUGAUGAGGUUAUUCCUGAAGCUCCAUAUGCAAUAACUGAGGAAUUCAUGAAGAAGCUUUUUGAUGAGUACAAUAUAGAUUACAUUAUUCAUGGAGAUGAUCCUUGUGUUCUACCUGAUGGAACUGAUGCUUAUGCUCAUGCCAAAAAGGCUGGACGUUAUAAACAGAUUAAGCGGACCGAAGGAGUUUCCAGCACUGAUAUUGUUGGUCGGAUGCUUCUCUGUGUAAGAGAAAGGACUAUUACUGACAGUCAUAAUCAUUCCUCUUUACAAAGACAGUUCAGCAAUGGCCGCGGUCAGAAAUUCGAAGAUGGAGUUGUUGCUAGUGGAACUCGUGUAUCUCAUUUUCUGCCUACAUCUCGUAGAAUUGUUCAGUUCUCAAAUGGGAGGAGUCCAGGACCUGAUGCACGCAUUGUAUAUAUAGAUGGUGCUUUUGAUCUCUUUCAUGCUGGACAUGUAGAGAUCUUGAGGCUUGCUAGGGACCGUGGAGAUUUUCUUCUCGUUGGAAUACACACGGAUCAGACAGUCAGUGCAACUAGGGGAUUGCAUCGUCCCAUCAUGAAUCUUCAUGAAAGAAGUCUAAGUGUCUUAGCAUGUCGCUAUGUGGAUGAGGUUAUAAUUGGUGCACCAUGGGAAGUGUCCAGAGAUAUGUUUAAAUUCUUUGCAUGCAGAUCACGACAUUCAACAUCUCAUUAGUUGUUCAUGGAACAACUGCAGAAAACACUGAUUUUCAGAAGGAACAAUCAAAUCCAUAUGCUGUUCCCAUUAGCAUGGGCAUCUUCCAAAUUUUAGAUAGUUCUUUAGAUAUAACAACUACUACAAUAAUUAGGAGGAUUGUAUCAAAUCAUGAAGCAUACCAGAAACGCAAUGAGAAGAAGGGUGAGAGCGAGAAAAAUUACUAUGAGGGCAAGACUCACGUGACUGGAGACUGAUUCAUGUCUAUCAUUUGGGGACAUAAACAUUGGGGGUCACCACCAGGAUUUCACACACCAUAAUUAUCUAUCUAAUAUCUAUCUCUUUUAUUGUUUGUUUCCUCUUUUUUGUGUGUGGAGAAAAUGACAGUUUUGUUCAGCCAUUAACACGAGUUGGGCAUCGUGGUUCGCGCUUCUGAUUUAUUAUUAUUUAUCAAACUGAUUUAACAGUUAAUUAACUUACAUUUAGACCUUAUGAAUAUGUAAGUGUUUGUUACAUAAAGCUGUGGUUAGCUAAAUUAUUUUUAAUUAGUUUAAGGAAUGGUUAAUCAUACUAGUGAACUAAAAUUAUCAGCUCAUCAACUUAUGCUUCAAGUUGAACAAGAGUUACAAGGCUGUCACUAUCCAUAUUAUUA
Non-coding RNA from Cicer arietinum (chickpea), 1765 nucleotides. The record is from RefSeq and is a predicted model, not a curated record. Lineage: Eukaryota; Viridiplantae; Streptophyta; Magnoliopsida; Fabales; Fabaceae.